UGGCUAUUUCAUAAGCUGCUAAUUACAUAUAUGGUACACUAAUUUCUAAAUAUUACAUAGAGAGCGCAUAUUAAACUAUUCUAACUACUAAUAAUAACUAUAACGCCCUCUGUUGAUUAGUAAAAUGACCAUGAUGUCCUCCGCCGGCGAUCAUGGCCACUUCUCAUUGCUGCUAACUCCGUCCUUCCACUCUUCCUCCAUCGCCGUUCGGCUGUCCUAACGUAGCUCCGGUAUUCAAACGGCAGCUGCUUGCAUUACCAGCGGCAAAUGCAUCUGCAAUCGGCUUAAUUACCAAAGUAACCUCCCCAACCGUUAUACACCACGCAACAGCUAAGAACAUCACCAGCAUAGAAACACAAUGGAAUGGAUCAUCCGGCGGCCGAAUUGGUAAUGAUACUAAGCACAAAAUCUGCAAAGGCAACGCAAUCAUGAAAGAAGUCGCCAGCAAAUUCACUCGUACCUGAAUUUUUCUGUUAAUUACAAAGGAGAUAACUCUCCAACACGAAAUUACAAAGGCUAACAAGUACGCAACAGUAAAUCCCCCAAACAAAAUAGAACUAUACACAGGGUAAGUACAGAGCACCGUCUGGUUCCCCAAAUUAUCUGUUGAAACGAAGGAGCUAGAAUGCAGGUAUAUCGGUAGACGCUUCUGCAAUGGGGAGAAGAACACAGCAAGGAUCUGAAGCACCAAAAGAGGUAAACAAAUCGGCCAGACAACGAUAACAGCCCAAAUUCCACUUGGACUAUGUUUCUUAAUGGACACGUUUACUAAGAAAAGAAGGGUGGUUAAGAACGCCGGUUCAAAUAAGCCCACGGAGAGAACCACAUGAACUUUACACAGAUUUGCUUGUUGAUUUAGGGUUAGAGGUGGUAACAAAGGGAGUAUAUAAUUCCGGCGAAUGAAAUGUAGCCGGACAACUUCGUUUAACGCCCAAAGAAUAGCGAAAAAAACAAGGAGUAAACGAACGGUCCACAGAGAAUUGAAAUUUUUCAGAUGCGGAUAUUGACGAGAUCUGAGACGGAGAUGGAAGAUAAACACAAACGAAAGUAGAGAAAGAAGAAGAAGACCGGAAAUAAAACAAAUUGUGAUGAAAUCAAAUGUUCCGUCAAAAACAGGAGCAGAAGGAAAAAGGAAAGUUGAAUUCGAGUAGGGAUCUGG
RNAcentral lists this unclassified non-coding RNA (1159 nucleotides) under Hevea brasiliensis (rubber tree). The record is from RNAcentral. Lineage: Eukaryota; Viridiplantae; Streptophyta; Magnoliopsida; Malpighiales; Euphorbiaceae.